Molecule: unclassified non-coding RNA, 637 nt
Filed under: Hevea brasiliensis (rubber tree)
Lineage: Eukaryota; Viridiplantae; Streptophyta; Magnoliopsida; Malpighiales; Euphorbiaceae
Source: RNAcentral
AAUUGGGAGAACUUUUGUGAUUAGUAAUAGUGAGAAUUAGGAAUGGAUUGAGACUUGAAUGUUGCUGCUGCAUAUUGUCAAAAACGGUGAGGAUGUUGCAUAUUGUCUGUUUCCUCAUUUACCUGCAGGGGAAUAGGCGGUCAUUUAUUAUGAAAAACAAUAUUGCUUAUAAGGGAAAGGGCAUAGCAUUUGUUGGAUGCUUUGAUUUAUGCUUAGGCCAUAUGAUACCCUGCAGCUUCCUGUUCGUAGGACAUUGCAAUUUGCAAGCAAUGCACAAGGUUGGCAAAUUAUAGCAAAGCAUUCGAGGUAAUGUUUAAUUUUGUUAAUACUCUUUGCUGUUUUCAUAUUUACUAAUUUAGUUGCCUUGCCCCAGACAUAGAAACUUCUUUAUCAAGGUUCUUACGUUAUUAAAUUUCCCAGAACUAAAGAAAUUCCAAUUCUGUGAAAGGCUCUCCUUAUGAUGCAAAUGAUGCAGCAAUAUGGAUAAGAAAACUUAGACUUGUAGCUUCUUUGAAUUUGCCUGUUACAUAUACUGGAGUCUUCAAUGGGGAAAGACUGUACAAACAUGAGUAUAAUACUACAGUCACAGUGUAUGCUGAGGCAAUCAUUGCUGCCUUACGUUUCUUUUACAUUGAGA